Molecule: ribosomal RNA, 878 nt
Filed under: uncultured bacterium
Lineage: Bacteria
Description: bacterial SSU rRNA
Rfam family: Bacterial small subunit ribosomal RNA
Source: RNAcentral
CGGCGAACGGGUGAGUAACACGUGGGUGACCUGCCCUCCACUCUGGGAUAAGCCUGGGAAACUGGGUCUAAUACCGGAUAUGACUUCAUGCCGCAUGGUGUGGGGUGGAAAGCUUUAUGUGGUGGGGGAUGGACCCGCGGCCUAUCAGCUUGUUGGUGGGGUAAUGGCCUACCAAGGCGACGACGGGUAGCCGGCCUGAGAGGGCGACCGGCCACACUGGGACUGAGACACGGCCCAGACUCCUACGGGAGGCAGCAGUGGGGAAUAUUGCACAAUGGGCGAAAGCCUGAUGCAGCGACGCCGCGUGAGGGAUGACGGCCUUCGGGUUGUAAACCUCUUUCAGCAGGGACGAAGCGAGAGUGACGGUACCUGCAGAAGAAGCACCGGCCAACUACGUGCCAGCAGCCGCGGUAAUACGUAGGGUGCGAGCGUUGUCCGGAAUUACUGGGCGUAAAGAGCUCGUAGGCGGCUUGUCACGUCGGCUGUGAAAACCCAUCGCUCAACGGUGGGCUUGCAGUCGAUACGGGCUGACUUGAGUACUGCAGGGGAGACUGGAAUUCCUGGUGUAGCGGUGAAAUGCGCAGAUAUCAGGAGGAACACCGGUGGCGAAGGCGGGUCUCUGGGCAGUAACUGACGCUGAGGAGCGAAAGCGUGGGUAGCAAACAGGAUUAGAUACCCUGGUAGUCCACGCCGUAAACGGUGGGUGCUAGGUGUGGGUUUCCUUCCACGGGAUCCGUGCCGUAGCUAACGCAUUAAGCACCCCGCCUGGGGAGUACGGCCGCAAGGCUAAACUCAAAGGAAUUGACGGGGGCCCGCACAAGCGGCGGAGCAUGUGGAUUAAUUCGAUGCAACGCGAAGAACCUUACCAAGGCUUGACA